GGAGGAGGGGCGUGGUUUUGACGGGCGAGGACUAGACCAAGCUGGCGAACUUUCUGCAUCUCAAAGAGGGCUCAAUUUCUGCCAGACCUUGAGAUUUGAAGAUUCACUGGAAAACUUCCCAGAGCAGAAGUGGAUUGGGGCAAGAGCUUCCCACUGCUUCCACUUUUUACUCCUGCGGGGGGUUUAUCUUUUCUCACUGGGGGUCAGGAUAGAGGAGAUCGCUGGUGCCCCACGAGCGAGCCCACUUUGAGACGACACGGACUUGUGCGCGCCAAGGACCUGAGCUCACUGGCCCGAAAUCCAACUUUCACCUUAGUCCCCUUUAGGCAAGGAGCCCGAGGCCUUGGUGCCUCUGGAAUCCAGCGUACUCGCGUGACCGCGGCGGCGGCGGCAGCGACGAGGGAAGGGGGAGGGGGCGCUCCCUCGCGCACCGGAUUAUUUUUGGCUCGGUAGCCUGGGCUGCUUGCUGCCUGUCGCGCGCGCACACACACGCGCGCGCGCGCGUAUAACACACACACACACACACACACACACACACACACACACACACACAUUUUUCUCCCGGGCUCUCUUGCUCUCCUUUGUUUAUUUUCUAAUCUAUAUUUGUGUUGGAAGAUCGCUCCUUCAUUCUCUCCCGCCUGCCUGCAAGCGCUCCUGAGGGUCAACCGGGUGCACGCCGCUCUCCCCAUCACUCCAGCCCCCUCUCCUGGUCUCCCAGAGCGCGGGGUUUGAAGGUCACCUCCUUUCCAGUCCCCCUGCGAGCUGCGCCGCCUCCUCCAGCCUGAGUCGGUGGCGCUGGCUGCGCUGCCUUAAAGUGGUUCUCACGGCAGCGGACCGAGCUGGGGUCCGCGCAGGGUGGGGAAACCCGAACUGCGGAGGGGAAUCCCUCCCGCUGCACCCCAGCUCCGGCGGCACCCACCGAGCGCUCAGCCAGCCACGGGAACGACAGAGGCGGCGGCGGCGGCAUCCUUGAAACCCACGCGUGCGCCUCGGGGGCAGAAGGAGCGAGCAGCACACCCAGCGUCUGGAGGGGACAGCCGUGCGCCCCGCCCCAGCGUCCGGCGCGAGAGAACUCCGAGCCUGCAACAGAGGCAGCCCAAGGAGCAGCGAAACACGCGCCCCGGGAUCCAGAAACCCUCGCAGCGGCCAUCAGGGCCCGGGGCUGUUCGGACCCUCGCCGCGGCCAGGCAGGGGCGCCAGAGCGGGGCCGACCUGCCCGCGAAGUUGGGGACAGUGUGGGUGAAGCCAGCACCCCGCUUCACCGCCUCCAGCUCAUGGUGAGCGUGGCUGAGGGUGCCGAGAGCGUAGGGGAAAUCGGGGGUCUGGGGCAGAGGAGAAGGCGACUGCAGGCAGACUCGCCGCGAGUUCCCGGAGGCUACCUGAUCAAGAUGCUCCUGCAGGCUGCAGGCCAGCUUCCAGGUGUCACGCAGAAGCUGGGAGCCUUCUGAGCUGAGCAGGAAGGGAGGUGAAGAUCCUAUGCGACUCUGCCUGGCUCUGUCAACUCGAUUCAGGCUGCCAAGGAGUGGGUGGCCCAUGGCUUUCCUGUGGGCCCUGCCAGGCAGUUGGGUCACCUGCCCACCCCGAUUUGUGGGACCAGGCCGUUCAGGGCUUGGACAUCCUCACCAGGCUGCCUGGGAAGCUGGCACCCAACCUUGAGUCCUCUCAGUUGAACUUGUAAAGUGGUGAGAUGUGGAAUAGCUUUGUUUGAACUGAAUCACACUGUAUCAUAACUUGGGAUUUCUUUCAUAAUAAAAUGAUUAAAAAAACUUUUAAAUCCAAUGCGCGAUGAAACCUGGCCUGUCUGCAGGUUGGGACUCACUGCAGCCUUUCAUUAUCUCCCUUAUCUCCUGACCGCUGUCCCUUGCUCCUCCAGCCCUGUCCUAGUUCAUCCACCCGCCAUUUACCACUUAUUUUUGUUACACAGAGAGAGAGACAGAGAGAGAGAGAGAGACAGAGAGAGAGAGAGAGAGAGAGAGAGGGCGGAUGAGUGGGCCUGGAUCCUUUCAAUUUUUAAAUGACCACAGAGGGCCUGGCUGGAGCCAUCAGCAGAUUUAUUUUUGGCUGAGAGGUGUUUCUUUUUUGCUGUUGUUGUUUUGUUUUUCUUCAGAGGCAAAGGAUCUGGGACCUAUGAAGGUGAAAGGUGCUGGCAGUGGCUGCGGGCAAACAAUAGGGCAGACUCCAAACCUUGUUUGAGCACAUCCUGGAGACCCUGGGUCCAGAAGAUCCCUUGGGUUUCCUCUAAGUGACCAUAGGGUUGAGUUGGGUUAGA
Molecule: long non-coding RNA, 2269 nt
Filed under: Chinchilla lanigera (long-tailed chinchilla)
Lineage: Eukaryota; Metazoa; Chordata; Mammalia; Rodentia; Chinchillidae
Description: lncRNA (ENSCLAG00000028629.1)
Source: RNAcentral